RNAcentral lists this transfer RNA (73 nucleotides) under Cordylochernes scorpioides. Its description in RNAcentral is "tRNA-Val". Lineage: Eukaryota; Metazoa; Arthropoda; Arachnida; Pseudoscorpiones; Chernetidae. The record is from RNAcentral.
UAUUUCUGCCAGGGCUCGAACCUGGGACCUUCCGCGUGUUAGGCGGAUGUGAUAACCACUACACCACAGAAAC